Molecule: ribosomal RNA, 429 nt
Filed under: Chloroflexota bacterium
Lineage: Bacteria; Bacillati; Chloroflexota
Description: Chloroflexi bacterium partial 16S ribosomal RNA
Rfam family: Bacterial small subunit ribosomal RNA
Source: RNAcentral
UGGGGAAUAUUGCACAAUGGGCGCAAGCCUGAUGCAGCCAUGCCGCGUGUAUGAAGAAGGCCUUCGGGUUGUAAGGUACUUUCAGUCGGGAGGAAGGUGGUAAGGUUAAUAACCUUAUCAAUUGACGUUACCGACAGAAGAAGCACCGGCUAACUCCGUGCCAGCAGCCGCGGUAAUACGGAGGGUGCAAGCGUUAAUCGGAAUUACUGGGCGUAAAGCGCACGCAGGCGGUUGAUUGAGUCAGAUGUGAAAUCCCCGGGCUUAACCCGGGAAUUGCAUCUGAUACUGGUCAGCUAGAGUCUUGUAGAGGGGGGUAGAAUUCCAUGUGUAGCGGUGAAAUGCGUAGAGAUGUGGAGGAAUACCGGUGGCGAAGGCGGCCCCCUGGACAAAGACUGACGCUCAGGUGCGAAAGCGUGGGGAGCAAACAGG